RNAcentral lists this ribosomal RNA (448 nucleotides) under uncultured Desulfuromonas sp. Its description in RNAcentral is "bacterial SSU rRNA". It matches the Rfam family "Bacterial small subunit ribosomal RNA", at positions 936 to 1382 of the family's 1533-position model. Lineage: Bacteria; Pseudomonadati; Thermodesulfobacteriota; Desulfuromonadia; Desulfuromonadales; Desulfuromonadaceae. The record is from RNAcentral.
AGCAUGUGGUUUAAUUCGACGCAACGCGAAGAACCUUACCUGGGCUUGACAUCCCGAUCGCACCUUAUGGAAACAUAGGGGUCAGUUCGGCUGGAUCGGUGACAGGUGCUGCAUGGCUGUCGUCAGCUCGUGUCGUGAGAUGUUGGGUUAAGUCCCGCAACGAGCGCAACCCUUGUCCUUAGUUGCCAGCAUUCAGUUGGGCACUCUAAGGAGACUGCCGGUGUCAAACCGGAGGAAGGUGGGGAUGACGUCAAGUCCUCAUGGCCCUUAUGUCCAGGGCUACACACGUGCUACAAUGGCCGGUACAAAGGGGCGCAAGACCGCGAGGUGGAGCAAAUCCCAAAAAACCGGUCUCAGUUCGGAUUGGAGUCUGCAACUCGACUCCAUGAAGUUGGAAUCGCUAGUAAUCGCGUAUCAGCAUGACGCGGUGAAUACGUUCCCGGACCUU